RNAcentral lists this ribosomal RNA (100 nucleotides) under uncultured bacterium. RNAcentral's name for it is "partial 16S ribosomal RNA". It matches the Rfam family "Bacterial small subunit ribosomal RNA", at positions 1401 to 1500 of the family's 1533-position model. The record is from RNAcentral.
ACCAUGGGAGUCGGAAAUGCCCGAAGUCUGUGACCCAACCUUAGGGAGGGAGCAGCCGAAGGCAGGUCGGAUGACUGGGGUGAAGUCGUAACAAGGUACC